Molecule: long non-coding RNA, 324 nt
Filed under: Pan troglodytes (chimpanzee)
Lineage: Eukaryota; Metazoa; Chordata; Mammalia; Primates; Hominidae
Description: long non-coding RNA NONPTRT009474
Source: RNAcentral
UGCUGGUGACAUCCAAGUGUAUAUCUUUCCAGUCCGACUCCUCUUUGAGCUCCAGAUUCAACAUACCUGGUCACAUCUAGACUUGGAUUUUUUUUUUUUGAAAUGAGGUCUUGCUCUGUCACCAUGGCUGGAGUGCAGUGGCGUGAUCAUAGCUUGCUGCAGCCUCAACCUCCCAGGCUCAAGCCAUCCUCCCACCUCAACCUCCCAAGUAGCUGGGACUACAGGCAUUUACCACUACAGCCAGCUAAUUUUUAAAUGUUUUUUUGUAGAGAUGAGGUCCCACUAUGAUGCCCAGGCUGGUCUCAAAUUCUUGGACUAUGUGAU